UAUAUUUUAGUGUAAGAUGCACAUAAAUUUUUGAUAUUUAAUGAUACAGUUUAAUUCUGUUAAAUAUAA
RNAcentral lists this transfer RNA (69 nucleotides) under Phytomastax pentaspinula. RNAcentral describes it as "tRNA-Gln". Lineage: Eukaryota; Metazoa; Arthropoda; Insecta; Orthoptera; Eumastacidae. The record is from RNAcentral.